Molecule: ribosomal RNA, 845 nt
Filed under: Nanomia bijuga
Lineage: Eukaryota; Metazoa; Cnidaria; Hydrozoa; Siphonophorae; Agalmatidae
Description: partial 12S ribosomal RNA
Source: RNAcentral
CUUCUUUUGAUUUUGGAGAAUUAAAAAUGUUUAAAUUAUUUAUACAUGUUAGUGAAAGCGUACAAAUGAGUAAUAAAUAAUAAUAAUUAUGUUGUAUCAGGUAUUUAGAUAUAAAAUAUUAAAAACCUAAGACACAAAAUAAAAAUCAUGUUUUAAAUGAAACAAUAUAAAAUUCACAGCAGUAAAGAAUAUUAUACAAUUAACGAAAGUUAGAUAUAGUCUUUUAAUUUAAUCUUGUCUAAUUAAGUGCCAGCAGACGCGGUUAUACUUAAGAGAUUAAUUUUUUUAUAAAAAAGGUAGUAUGUAGAAUUUUUUUAUGUAUAUAUAAACUUAUUGGGUUAGUAGAAUAAUACAAUAAAAUGUAAUUCUUUAUAUACAAAGUAAUUUGAAAUGAGAAAAAAGAAUAUUAAAUAGGAUUAGAUACCCUAGUAAUUCUUAAAGUUAUUAAUUAAUAUCUAUUUGAGUAGUAUAAUUUUUUAAAAUGAAAAUCAAAAAUUUUGGCUGUUUAUUUUACUAUUAGAGGAACGUGUUAUUUAAUUUGAUAAUCCACGAAAUACCUUACCUAUUUUUGUUUGCAGGUGUUGCAUGGCCGUCUUACAUUAAUUUAUAAAAAAUGAGUUAGGGAAAAAGUCAGGUGUUAAGGCCCUAAUAAAUAGGCAUAAAUGCGUUACAAUAAUUAUAAUAAUUCAAUAAUAAUUUUAGAUUUUAUUUGAAAUAAUAAAUGAAAGAGAAUUUAAAAGUAAAUGAAAAUAUAAAGUUUCAUUAAACCGUUAAAAAUAUAAGUACAAAUUGCCCGUCGCCUUUACCUAGGUAAAGUAAGUCGUAACAUAGUGGGUAUAAGGGAA